GAUGAAGAACGUAGCGAAAUGCGAUAAGUAAUGUGAAUUGCAGAAUUCAGUGAAUCAUCGAAUCUUUGAACGCACAUUGCGCCCCUUGGUAUUCCGAGGGGCAUGCCUGUUCGUGCGUCAUUUCAACCCUCAAGCACAGCUUGGUCUUGGGCUUCGCCGCUAACCCGGCGGGUCUUAAAAUCAGUGGCGGUGCCGUCGGGCCCUGAGCGCAGUAAUCUCUCUCGCUAUAGGGUCCCGGCGGAUGCUGGCCAGUAACCCCCAAUUUUCUAUGGUUGACCUCGGAUCAGGUAGGGAUACCCGCUGAACUUAAGCAUAUCAAUAAGCGGAGGA
RNAcentral lists this unclassified non-coding RNA (330 nucleotides) under soil metagenome. RNAcentral describes it as "partial contains 5.8S ribosomal RNA, internal transcribed spacer 2, and large subunit ribosomal RNA". The stretch from base 1 to 120 matches the Rfam family "5.8S ribosomal RNA", at positions 35 to 154 of the family's 154-position model. The record is from RNAcentral.